AGAACGAACGCUGGCGGCAGGCCUCAAACAUGCAAGUCUAGGGGGUGUAGCAAUACAUCACCGGCGGACGGGUGCGUAACACGUGGGAAUAUACCUUUUGGUUCGGAACAACGCAGGGAAACUUGCGCUAAUACCGAAUGUGCCCUUACGGGGAAAGAUUUAUCGCCAAAGGAUUAGCCCGCGUAGGAUUAGCUAGUUGGUGAGGUAAUGGCUCACCAAGGCUCCGAUCCUUAGCUGUUCUGAGAGGAAGAUCAGCCACACUGGGACUGAGACACGGCCCAGACUCCUACGGGAGGCAGCAGUUGGGAAUCUUGGACAAUGGGGGAAACCCUGAUCCAGCCAUGCCGCGUGAGUGAUGAAGGCCUUCGGGUUGUAAAACUCUUUCGACGGGGACGAUAAUGACGGUACCCGUAGAAGAGCUCCGGCUAACUUCGCGCCAGCAGCCGC
Molecule: ribosomal RNA, 447 nt
Filed under: uncultured bacterium
Lineage: Bacteria
Description: SSU rRNA
Rfam family: Bacterial small subunit ribosomal RNA
Source: RNAcentral